UGUCUACAUAUACAGUCUUCAUUGAGGGUC
RNAcentral lists this non-coding RNA (30 nucleotides) under Mus musculus (house mouse). The record is from RNAcentral. Lineage: Eukaryota; Metazoa; Chordata; Mammalia; Rodentia; Muridae.